UCCUCUCAGAAAUCACCCGUUACAAUAUGGAGUCGUUUAUCACAGCAAAUAUCCCCGUUAAUUUCUUCCCCAAUGAUAAAACCGUCAACUAUUUGGCUUCCCCUCACCAAUUCUAUAAAAGCCGGCAUAGUUGGAAAGCAUGAUCUCUCUAACAACAAGCUUCUGGUCAGAAAAGCUUAGGAAAUUUGCCUCCUUUCUGACGCUCAGUUCAAUCAUCCAUCAUCGGCGUUGUAAGACAUCACUGAUUAUUUUCAAAAUACAUGCAGCGAUUAAGUUGAGUCGUAUGUCCGAAAAGGCAUUCACGAGAUCAUUCAAUAGCCUGCAAAAUAUUAUUGGAGUCAAGAUUAAGCUUAAUAUAAAAACACUAGCAGUUCAGAGUGGCCGAGGAAGAGUAAUCAAAUCCGAGCAAAACAUGUUAUCUUUGUUAUCAGUUUGACAUGUAUUUGAUUGGACAAUCUUGAAGUAUCCACAGUUUGGCUCUAGCUCCACUCUAGCUCAAAACCAAGAUCGAGUCUUACACGUUAACCAGCUUUGUAUCCUCCAGUGCCAUCUGGUGAGAGACCAGAGAAACCUUCGGAACCUGCAAACCUGUAGCUUUGGCUAAGUUGAUGAAGAAGCAAGAGAGGAAGAAGGAAAUGAAUUAAAUGAUGAAUCGCAAACUUACUGGCUGUUCCAAUAUAUAAUUGUCAAGGUGAUGUGUCAAGCUCUGGUCUGGUAGAGACUAAAGAAAUGGUAUUAUAAGCAAAAAGGCGGAGUGAGGAAAGUGAUUGAUAAUUGUAUACUUGAGUCAACAAUAAAAAUUUAUAUAUUCUAUACAUUUGAUUUUGGAACAACAAAUUUCAAAAAUUUAUAAGUUUUUAAUUUUUUUUUUCGACCAAAAUAUUUGUAUAUAAUAUGAAUAUUUUGAUGACUUUGAUGACGGGGAGAAAUAAAAAUUGAAUAUUUUGUUGAACUA
Long non-coding RNA from Brassica napus (rape), 955 nucleotides. RefSeq lists it as uncharacterized. The record is from RefSeq and is a predicted model, not a curated record. The transcript is spliced from 6 exons. NCBI's taxonomy places the organism in Eukaryota, Viridiplantae, Streptophyta, Magnoliopsida, Brassicales, Brassicaceae.